GGCGGCUAUGGCGCCGGGGAAACACCUCUUCCCUUUCCGAACAGAGUAGUUAAAACCGGUCGCGCCAAUGGUACUGCAUUGCUGUGGGAGAGUAGGAAGCUGCCA
This 105-nucleotide ribosomal RNA is filed under the name Bacteroidia bacterium. Lineage: Bacteria; Pseudomonadati; Bacteroidota; Bacteroidia. The record is from RNAcentral.